UAAUACGUAGGGUGCAAGCGUUGUCCGGGAAUUAUUGGGCGUAAAGAGCUCGUAGGCGGUCUGUCGCGUCGAAUGUGAAAAUCCGGGGCUCAACUCCGGACCUGCAUUCGAUACGGGCAGACUAGAGUUCGGUAGGGGAGACUGGAAUUCCUGGUGUAGCGGUGAAAUGCGCAGAUAUCAGGAGGAACACCGGUGGCGAAGGCGGGUCUCUGGGCCGAUACUGACGCUGAGGAGCGAAAGCGUGGGGAGCGAACAGGAUUAGAUACCCUGGUAGUCCACGCCGUAAACGGUGGGAACUAGGUGUGGGGGUCCUUCCACGACCUCUGUGCCGCAGCUAACGCAUUAAGUUCCCCGCCUGGGGAGUACGGCCGCAAGGCUAAAACUCAAAGGAAUUGACGGGGGCCCGCACAAGCGGCGGAGCAUGCUGAUUAAUUCGAUGCAACGCGAAGAACCUUACCAAGGCUUGACAUGUACAGGAAACUUCCAGAGAUGGUUGCCCCGCAAGGUCUGUAUACAGGUGGUGCAUGGU
RNAcentral lists this ribosomal RNA (529 nucleotides) under Nakamurella sp. Its description in RNAcentral is "bacterial SSU rRNA". It matches the Rfam family "Bacterial small subunit ribosomal RNA", at positions 521 to 1049 of the family's 1533-position model. Lineage: Bacteria; Bacillati; Actinomycetota; Actinomycetes; Nakamurellales; Nakamurellaceae. The record is from RNAcentral.